UACGUAGGGGGCAAGCGUUGUCCGGAUUUAUUGGGCGUAAAGAGCGCGUAGGCGGCUUGGUAGGUCCAUUGUGAAAACUCGAGGCUCAACCUCGAGACGCCGGUGGAAACCAUCAGGCUAGAGUCCGGAAGAGGAGAGUGGAAUUCCUGGUGUAGCGGUGAAAUGCGCAGAUAUCAGGAAGAACACCCGUGGCUAAGGCGGCUCUCUAGUACGGUACUGACGCUGAGACGCGAAAGCGUGGGGAGCGAACAGG
RNAcentral lists this ribosomal RNA (253 nucleotides) under uncultured bacterium. RNAcentral's name for it is "partial 16S ribosomal RNA". It matches the Rfam family "Bacterial small subunit ribosomal RNA", at positions 524 to 776 of the family's 1533-position model. The record is from RNAcentral.